GUUAUCGCUGAGCCACGAUGGGAACUCCCAACAUAUUGUUUAAAUUAUAAGAUACUGAUUUUAUGUGUCAGUGGAGUGAGAUAGAGGUUUAAUAAGCACAAUAGUUGUGAGAAAUGAGGUUACUGAAGGAAAUAUAGAUGAGGAAAGAAAUAUUGUCACCAGUGUGCCUCUGCCUAUACAAUGGAGUCAGAAAUAGAGAGGUAAAUGAGGGUAAAAAACUAUGUUUGUUUGGGGAGAAGGAAAAGAGAAAUGGCCCAGAAAAGAUUUAGCAGGCAUGAGGUGUACAGAAGAGAGAUUCUAAGACCGAAGCAUGUGCCUUUUACAUGCACCCAGCAAUGAAGUAUAAUAUGAUAUACUUAUUUAGAAAUGAGCACUUGUGGAGUUACAGAUUAAUCAGGGCCUGUCUUUAACCUGAUCUAUUAUAGCUUCUAUAAUUACAGCUUUUAUUGCAUAUACCUUCCUGCAGCUCUGUUCGAAUGCCAAAGGACAUUUCUUUCUUUAGAAGAGAAAGGGAGCUGGCUCUAAAGAAAACUUUACAGGAAAGGCUUAUAUUUUCAAGUGAAUGGCUGAUCUACUGACAGUGGUUACAAGGACAAACCAGCCCAAUGUUCAGCUAACUGAUGGGUCAGAGCAGGCCAGUACUUCUUUGGAGGUGGCUGAGUCAAAGCCCCUUGUUAUUCAAGCAGAUGUCAUGCAGAGGGAGCUAGAGAGCUGCCUAAGGAGAGAGUACACUCCUGAAAAUUUACCUUUGCUUCUGUUGCAGUAUUAUACAGAGAGAAUUACCCAGCUGGCCCAGAGUAAAUAUUUGCAUAUGCUUAGGUGGAAGAGAUUUUGCCAUCACAGUAAGAUCAUGGAACAACUCUAUCCUCUUUAUAAGAAACAAGUUGCCUACAUUAUGCAGGAAUACAAUGAUGCCCUUCAUAGAGCUGAUAGAUUGUCUGUUGCACGAGAAAACUUCCUUAUGGGAAAAAAGAAUCCUCCUAACUUAGUGACACAGGAAGACCUGACUAUUUACACAAAUUGGUUAGUGUGUCACCUACACUCACUCAAGACUAUUCACCAAUACCUGCAGGCCCUCCAGUAUUUGCCUCUCUCCAAAGUGCUAAGUAUAGCUGUGGAUGAAAUCCCAGAGGUUGGUCAGGAAAAUGAAAAGGUCCCUGUUGAUGACAUUGACCCUGACAUCCAGGGUUCUGUAUCUCCAGGCUCUAUGAAUACCAAUAUUUCAGGGCCAACAAGAACAGAAGCUGCUUUCAUCCUGCCCCAACACACAACAGAAACAGAAAAACUGAAACCUCAGCUGAAGCUCCUGCUCUCCCAUUUUAAUAUCCCAUAUGACGUGGAGGAACUAAGGGAUGCUGCCAAGGAAAUAGAACUUUUUUCCUUGGUGUCCCAAAAAUUUCAAAGCAUCUUCAUGAAGCAGCAGAGAAUGAAGACAUUUCCAGACUAUGAUGCUGGGAUAGCCAAAGCUGAGCAUUUGAGUUUGGCAGAACCUGGUAUGGCCUUGAAAAAGAGAGCCAGCUGGAUUUCCUUUGUAAAGAUUUCCAACCCUGAGCGAGUAAUGCAAGUGCUGCAAGAUCAUGCUGCAAAGACAGUCUUCAUGGCUUCAUCUCAUCCAACAUUCGUGGCUUCCUGGGAUUUGCAUCAGGGCAACUAUGACCAAAUCUGGGAGAAUAUUUAUAGCAAUGUCAACCUUUACCAGAAUGAAAACAUGAAGGAGGAUGGCCUUUCAGUGGAGCAAAAUGAAAAUGACUCAGCACAAAUAAGUCGUAGCCAUUGUGCUGAUGAGCCUGUCAAGCAGAAGAAAGAGCCGGGGUACAGCUAUGCACUGGCCCUACAACUCCUGGGUUUGGAUGAUGGGUCUGGGCCCAGUGAUGGGGAUUCUGUCCUGAUGAGAGGGACCUACUUGUCCUUUCUGUAUCUGCGCCACCUGAGGAUCAGGGAACUGCAGGUAUGCAGAUGGCCCUGCAUGCACCUGAAUUGUUUGGUUGUCUGUAAAAGAGGUUUUCCUGCCACUAGAGUAGUAAUGUAUUUUUACACUUUGUUCUUUGAUUUUUCCAUGAAAUCAGGCCUUUUGGGAGUGGUGAGUUCUUCUCCCAGCAAUGGGGUUGACCUGCCAACCUUUGGGGCCCCAGUAAGUUUUACUCUAUAGGUGGGCUAGCAAAGGGCAGAGUCAUGACCCUGUUCUUUCUUUGUUUCAGCGCAUCUGCUUAGGAAUUCUGAACUAUUUCAGAUCCAUUGAACGAACGCUGACGAUCAACACUUCAGGCCUUACCUUGGUUGCAGGGAGCCUGGUCCCCACCUCGGAAGAUAGCUCCUGGGUAAAUACAGUAAAAGGAGGCAUGGGCACCCCACAAGGCCUAGGCACUCACCACUAUGUCCAUGGAACAUCUGCUGAGCACAAGGUGAGGAUUCUGCUACAGUUUUCCUUCCUUGAUCAUCCUGUCUCCCAAGCCACCUUCUUAGCACCUGGAAUCAGUUAACAUGAUGAAGUAAUAGGUGAGAGUUUCUAGAGAAAUAGCUUUUUUGAAAAAUUGUGGUGAAAAGGGAAAUGGUUUUUUAACCACAAUAAAAUGCAGUGUCCACUUAAGAGCA
RNAcentral lists this long non-coding RNA (2592 nucleotides) under Sus scrofa (pig). Its description in RNAcentral is "lncRNA (ENSSSCG00030060852.1, ENSSSCG00040044660.1)". The record is from RNAcentral. Lineage: Eukaryota; Metazoa; Chordata; Mammalia; Artiodactyla; Suidae.